RNAcentral lists this ribosomal RNA (445 nucleotides) under uncultured bacterium. Its description in RNAcentral is "partial 16S ribosomal RNA". It matches the Rfam family "Bacterial small subunit ribosomal RNA", at positions 354 to 796 of the family's 1533-position model. The record is from RNAcentral.
GUGAGGAAUAUUGCGCAAUGGAGGCAACUCUGACGCAGCCAUGCCGCGUGCAGGAAGAAGGCGCUACGCGUUGUAAACUGCUUUUAACCGGGAAGAAACCCCAGGACGUGUCCUGGGUUGACGGUACCGGAGGAAUAAGCACCGGCUAACUUCGUGCCAGCAGCCGCGGUAAUACGAAGGGUGCAAGCGUUAUCCGGAUUCAUUGGGUUUAAAGGGUGCGUAGGCGGAGCGUUAAGUCAGUGGUGAAAUCCUGCAGCUUAACUGUAGACUUGCCAUUGAUACUGGCGCUCUUGAGUGCGCUUGAAGUGGGCGGAAUGUGCCGUGUAGCGGUGAAAUGCUUAGAUAUGGCACAGAACACCAAUUGCGAAGGCAGCUCACUAAGGCGAUACUGACGCUGGGGCACGAAAGCGUGGGGAUCGAACAGGAUUAGAUACCCGUGUAGUCC